AAAUCAAAUGAUGAGUAUGGAUUUAAUUUUUUCUCACGACGGUCGUCUGAGAUUCAAACUGUGAUGUAAAUAAUCCAAAUGCUUCUGAUGAUU
Molecule: small nucleolar RNA, 93 nt
Organism: Ziziphus jujuba (common jujube)
Lineage: Eukaryota; Viridiplantae; Streptophyta; Magnoliopsida; Rosales; Rhamnaceae
Product: small nucleolar RNA Z161/Z228
Exons: 1
Source: RefSeq, a predicted model, not a curated record